RNAcentral lists this long non-coding RNA (697 nucleotides) under Homo sapiens (human). RNAcentral's name for it is "HSALNT0118575". Lineage: Eukaryota; Metazoa; Chordata; Mammalia; Primates; Hominidae. The record is from RNAcentral.
UUUUUUUGAGAUGGAGUCUUGCUCUGUCGCUCAGGCUGGAGUGCAGUGGUGCGAUCUCGGCUCACUUCGCCUCCCAGGUUCAAGCAAUUCUCCUGCCUCAGCCUCCCAAGUAGCUGAAACUACAGGCGCCCACCACCAUGCCCGACUAAUUUUUGUAUUUUUUUAGUAGAGACGAGGUUUCACCAUGUUGGCCAGGCUGGUCUCGAACUCCUGACCUCAAGUGAUCCGCCUGCCUCGGCCUCCCAAAGUGCUAGGAUUACAGGUGAGAGCCACUGUGCCCAGCCCUGGUCUUAACUGUUAUAUUUCCUACAACAUCCAGCAUUCUGCAUCCUGCCCUCAGUUGGUGCUCAGUAGCAUUGUUGAUGCAGUGUUAUCCGGAAGGAACUCAGAGGCUAUCAGGGGAAACAAAAACAAUGCAUUGAAUACUGACAACCUGAUGAGAAAGAUAUGCCACGAGAUGGACAGACACAACGCUAAGUGAGUUCAGAGGAGGCUUACUGAAAAAGGCGUGACAUUCUGUCUCGUACAUUAAAAAGAAUGGAAUUUGGAAAGGCACGGAUGGAGGAGAAAGGCACUCCAGGUAGAAGGGACCCCAUAAGUAAAUGUACAGAAGUGGGAAAUUAUGGUAUAUACAGGAAAUAACUACUAUUUGGUUUGGUUAAACGUAGGGCCCUAGAAGGCAGAGAUGUGGGAAGUG